GACGAACGCUGGCGGCGUGCUUAACACAUGCAAGUCGAACGGAAAGGCCCUGCUUUUGUGGGGUGCUCGAGUGGCGAACGGGUGAGUAACACGUGAGUAACCUGCCCUUGACUUUGGGAUAACUUCAGGAAACUGGGGCUAAUACCGGAUAGGAGCUCCUGCUGCAUGGUGGGGGUUGGAAAGUUUCGGCGGUUGGGGAUGGACUCGCGGCUUAUCAGCUUGUUGGUGGGGUAGUGGCUUACCAAGGCUUUGACGGGUAGCCGGCCUGAGAGGGUGACCGGCCACAUUGGGACGGAGAUACGGCCCAGACUCCUACGGGAGGCAGCAGUGGGGAAUAUUGCACAAUGGGCGGAAUCCUGAUGCAGCAACGCCGCGUGCGGGAUGAAGGCCUUCGGGUUGUAAACCGCUUUCGCCUGUGACGAAGCGUGAGUGACGGUAAUGGGUAAAGAAGCACCGGCUAACUACGUG
RNAcentral lists this ribosomal RNA (468 nucleotides) under uncultured bacterium. RNAcentral's name for it is "partial 16S ribosomal RNA". It matches the Rfam family "Bacterial small subunit ribosomal RNA", at positions 28 to 507 of the family's 1533-position model. The record is from RNAcentral.